AAAAAAAAAGCACAGUAGUCCUCAUUUCCUUCUCAAGUUUAAGCUAUUCCUUUCUCACACCCAUUUCAAAUAGGUCUUUGGUCACAACUAUCUGGAUAGUUUUCUAAGGCAGUAACUCCCAAAAAGUUGCCCACCAGACAUCCAAAGUAUUCAGAAGAACUUAAAAAUACAAAUUCCUAGGAUUGAUGCCUAAAAGAUUCUAAUUUAGUAAGUCUGGAAUAGGACCCAAGAUUUUUUAUCUGUCAAAUAAUCAGGUUUGCUAACCACUGCUCCCAAGUUAACACGGUUGAACAUUACUUAAUUUCAUGACUCCCAAACUACUAACCCCUUCCUGUAUACAGAAUACAUAACCCACCAAAAAAUAAUAAACUGUCCACCUAAGCCAGCUAUCUUUAUAACCUGUUUCUUAAAAGGACAAUUUCAGCCAACCAUCCCAAUAGAAAUUUAGUAUCUGAAUCACUUAAGCACAAGGCUCCACUCUCUCAAUGAAGCACAUCCUAAGUAACAGGUGCCCUCUAUUUACUAUACUUCCAUUCUGAUGCAAUCAGUUUUCAAGUAGUGGAAUCAUGGCAGUGUACCUCACCAAAAUCAAUCUGCUGCUGAUUUCUGUUCAUGCAGGAAAAUGCUAGAAGCAGCAGGUAAAAAUCAUUUAAAGUAAUUGUCCAUUUGCAUUAGGAUAAAUACUGUUUUUCAGCAAAGACUUAAUACCUGUGGUUUUAACCUUUUAGAAGAAAAUGACCCACUUCAAAGGGGUAAUAUUUAAAGAACAAGAAGAAGAAACGUAAAAAUCCAGCGGAAUAGAUAAAAGGCAAAUAUCUAUUUAUCUAUUUAAAUAAGAACUAACAUGAGAAUAAAAAUGAAGUCGGAAAAACACAAAUCCUUGAAGUGCUAUAAACCACUAUUUAAAGACAAUACACAAACUUCUAAAAUUAAAAUAAGUAGUGGAUUUUGCUUAUACAUACAUAGGAGAAUAUGCAAACAAACAUUAGCUGAAAAAGAGCCAGCUUACCUCCAAGACUAAGCCUAAAAUAACUGCUCAGGAUGUCAUCACAAAAGCGACAGAGGUUGGAGAGCUGUUUCAGAUGUUCUUGUAGCUGAACUUUAGGAAACCGUACUUUGUAAAGAGGUGCAAGAAAACCAAAAACAUAGGCAUCCAAGGUAGAAGGCCUAGAAAUAAAUUAAGGAUUUUUAAAGCACAUAAGACAAUAUUAACUGAAGGCCGGGUGUGGUGGCUCAUGCCUGUAAUCCCAGUACUUUGGGAGAUCAAGCGGGGGCAGAUCACUUGAGGUCAGGAGUUCCAGAUAAGCCUGGCCAACAUGGUGAAACCCUGUCUCUACUAAAAAUACAAAAGAAGUCGGGCGUGGUGGUGGGCACCUGUAAACCCAGCUACUUGGGAGGCUGAGAAACCAUGUCGUCUUCAGUUGUCAAAAUUGGUACAUCGCCUAUAAUCAAAAAACAGUUUACAUACAAGGACACAGUGUGAUUUCCUCUGAGAGAUUCCAAUAUCCUAAAAACUAUAGCAGUUGCACAUUUAGAGGGGAAAAAAUGAGUAAGCUUGUCUUGGUUUUUUUGCUGUUUCACAAAGAGCGGUUCUAAAGAACAUUUUCGUUUCUCAUAAUUUCCAGUGAUUUCGCUUGCACUUUGAGGUAUUACUCAGAAUGAUCAAACCAUAAACAACACAGAGCCAAGGUCACGGUAAGAAACUAAAUCCUCAAUAUUAUAGCUAUAUACCUCACAGCUUUAAAUGGAAGAAGAAAAAAAAGAGUGCAGAAAGGGGAGUGUAAAGGUUUACACUAUACCUCUUGAACCUCUCCAGGUGUUAUCUAUCACAUUGACUUUCAAGGGUGCACCAGAAAAUUUGGCAUAAGCCUGAAACAGAGUUUGCAAUCAAACAUUUUAGACCAAGUGCGUAAUGCAAAGCUGCAGAGCAGCUUUACUUCACAGCCCCAUCCCCCAAAGGCAGAAGGCGACUGAUACUGAGGCCGCAUCCCUCCCCGUGAUCUCAAGUAGGGACGCGGGCGCCAGCCACCCGGCUUUCGAGGACUUUGCUCCCCAAAAGGUCCUGGGGAUGCAGAGUAGGGAGGGCGCGCCCCUUGCUUCGGGGUUUCACUCCACCGCCCAGACAGCUUUGUGAGGCGGACAAAACUCGGAGCCAAGCGGAGAAGCCUUGAUGUCGCCGCCGGCCUUCGGCGGGGGUAUCGGCCAGGUUGGGACUCGUCGGUGGGAGGGAGCCCAGGGCAAUGCAGCGUGCAGCGGCUCGGCCCUCCUGGACCCCGCAGCGCAGCGGGAAACUGGGGCAAGUCAGCCUGGCGCCUCCAGCCCCGCCCCUUCCUCCUGCGCCCUGGCCCGCGAGGCGGCCUCACCAUCACCACCAGGGACUCGCUGUGAACCGAUGGGAGUCCCCAGCCGCCUCCCCAGCAACUGAGUUCCAAGGGGGCCGCCAUCUUGC
This 2449-nucleotide long non-coding RNA is filed under the name Homo sapiens (human). Its description in RNAcentral is "HSALNT0090191". Lineage: Eukaryota; Metazoa; Chordata; Mammalia; Primates; Hominidae. The record is from RNAcentral.